CUUGGGUUCAAAUUCACUGACCUUUCUGUGUGGAGUGUGCAUGUCCUGUCUGUGCCUGCAUGCCUUCUCUGUGGUUACUCUGGUUUCCUCCCACAGUCCAAAGACAUGCAUGUUAAGUUAACUGGUGAAUCUAAAGUGUAAAUCGUUGUCUGUCUCUCUGUGUUGGCCCUGCGACAGACUGGUGACCUGACAGCUGUGACAUGCUCCAGACCCAUCUUAACCCUGAACUGGAUGAGCAGGAGGCACUGUUGCUGUGUAUGAGUGCAAACACUUGACCAACCCUUUGUUCAUGUUUUAACAAAAAGUACGGCGGUCUUAAACAGUGACUGAGACAACUUACAUGUUGAGACAGUUGUCUUCUGCAUGGAUUCACAGAGCAUGACGCACACAAGCUGCGAGACAUGCUAUCUUACACACAUGUUCUCUAAUUUGUGCAUAUGGCUUCACUCGUACAUGCAGAUGAAUGCUGUUAAUAUUUGUACACGAGCUCCCGAAAUGCCAACAUGCAUUUGACUAAGCAAGCUGAGUCGAGUGCCGAGUGCUCACAGUGCCGCUGGUUCAAAUCUGUAGGUGGAUGCAUCUCAAACCUCCGCCCUAUUGUUCUUCUCAUUUGCGGCUGAACAACAUCAUUUUUCACUUUUCUCGCCGUCCGUCAGGGCUCUCCUUCACUGAUACAUAAAUAGUCUGUCAGAGUGAGGUUAGAAACCUCCAGCUCAGCUGUUUCGGAGAUGAAACCACUCCCACCCUUACCCACGCACAUUUUUACAUCCAUACUCUCACAGUGGGAUCUCUAUAGCUGUCGCACACACACAUGCUCUCACAGUGUACACUCAUCUCUCACUUUCACUGGAAAGGAUAGCGCUCUCUCUCUGUCUCUCUCUCUCAGUGUAUACUGUGUCUCUCUCAGAUGCAGUUAGGUCUCUCAUUCUCAUGAAGCGCAGCUCCUCUCUGUUUCUGGAUGCACUCUAAGUCAGAGCGUAGGACAAGACAGACCGCAUCCUAAGAACUGGUUUCUUUCUUCGCAUACAGCCGGCAGUAGCAAUUCCCGGCUGUGAGUGGGGCCUUCAUGGAUUCUCCGUACAACGGCAACACGUCCUUGCAGACGUCCACGUCCAACCUCAACGCCGGCUAUUCGCGGCCCUCGGAAGCCGAGGAUGACGGCAAAGUGUCCAGUGACACCAUUUGGCUGUGGAUUGCUGUCCUGGCAACAAUUGGCAACAUAGUGGUGGUGGCUGUGGUUUGUGCCUGUGCCUUCUGACAAAGUAGAAGAGUGGAACAAAAAAAUUCUGCUGCUGUCGGACAUAGCAACUCUUGUAUAUUUUGAAAAUAUACUUUCUCUAGAAAUGUUGUAAAAUAGCCUUACUUUAAGACUGAUCCCAUGGAUUAUUUUUCUUUUAAAUAUAAGCAUCAGUUUGAAUUUUGCAGAGGAAUUUGCAUGGGAGUCUUUAUUCCCACAGCCCCGUCACCCCACUCCUUUUUCAAAACGUAAAAUCAGCGAUCAUAUUGAAAUAAUUAGCUCACAGAAUCUUUCUGUUCAUUUGUACAGUUCAACAACCACAAAAGGAAAGCAACAAUUAAGGUUGUGAUAUAUGUUGGUACAGAAGUUCACUUUAACGUAAAAUGUGAUGAAAUGGCUCAUUGGCCAAACUCAGAUGACGUGCAUGUACAUCAUGUAGUUUGUUACACGAUGCAGGAACUUUUCUCUUUUUUUAAAAUUUCCAAAGUGAAAACUACAUAUUACAGUUAAAAACAGACCUUUGUUCCCUUAUGCAAUGCACAGAUUUAAAGACAUUUCUGCUGUUACCCUUGUUCUGCCUGUUUCUAGAAUGCUUCAUUUGAGAGCACUAUCAUAAUUCAUUGGUUUCCUUUGUGUGUAACCUGUUUAAUAUGCAUUAAAACCAUGGCUAUGA
Haplochromis burtoni (Burton's mouthbrooder) is the source of this 1910-nucleotide RNA transcript. RefSeq lists it as uncharacterized. The record is from RefSeq and is a predicted model, not a curated record. The transcript has 2 exons. NCBI's taxonomy places the organism in Eukaryota, Metazoa, Chordata, Actinopteri, Cichliformes, Cichlidae.